UGCAGAAUCCCGCGAACCAUCGAGUCUUUGAACGCAAGUUGCGCCCGAGGCCACCUGGCCGAGGGCACGCCUGCCUGGGCGUCACGCUAAAUACGCUCCCACACCCCUCAUCGGGCAGUGGGAUGCGGCAUGUGGCCCCCCGUCACGCAAGAGGCGGUGGGCNGAAGAUGCGGCUGCCGGCGUAUCGUGCCGGACACAGCGCGUGGUGGGCGACCUCGCUUUACUUACCGCAGUGCAUCCGACACGUAGCCGACGUGAUGGCCUUAACGGACCCUAUGAACGGAGCGCAUGACGUUUCGACCGCGACCCCAGGUCAGGCGGGACUACCCGCUGAGUUUAAGCAUAUAAAUAAGCGGAGGAGAAGAAACUUACAAGGAUUCCCCUAGUAACGGCGAGCGAACCGGGAGCAGCCCAGCUUGAGAAUCGGGCGGCCGUGCCGUCCGA
This 444-nucleotide ribosomal RNA is filed under the name Apera spica-venti (loose silky-bent). RNAcentral's name for it is "eukaryotic LSU rRNA". The stretch from base 304 to 444 matches the Rfam family "Eukaryotic large subunit ribosomal RNA", at positions 1 to 141 of the family's 3401-position model. The record is from RNAcentral. Lineage: Eukaryota; Viridiplantae; Streptophyta; Magnoliopsida; Poales; Poaceae.